RNAcentral lists this ribosomal RNA (253 nucleotides) under uncultured bacterium. Its description in RNAcentral is "partial 16S ribosomal RNA". It matches the Rfam family "Bacterial small subunit ribosomal RNA", at positions 524 to 776 of the family's 1533-position model. The record is from RNAcentral.
UACGGAGGAGGCUAGCGUUGUUCGGAAUGACUGGGCGUAAAGCGCACGUAGGCGGACUGUCAAGUCAAGGGUGAAAUCCCGGUGCUCAACAUCAGAACUGCCUCAGAUACUGUCAGUCUAGAGUCCGGAAGAGGUGGGUGGAAUUCCUAGUGUAGAGGUGAAAUUCGCAGAUAUUAGGAAGAACACCGGUGGCGAAGGCGGCCCACUGGUCCGGAACUGACGCUGAGGUGCGAAAGCGUGGGGAGAAAACAGG